Molecule: ribosomal RNA, 243 nt
Filed under: Mycobacterium sp. 7
Lineage: Bacteria; Bacillati; Actinomycetota; Actinomycetes; Mycobacteriales; Mycobacteriaceae
Description: partial 16S ribosomal RNA
Rfam family: Bacterial small subunit ribosomal RNA
Source: RNAcentral
UUUGCGGUGUGGGAUGGGCCCGCGGCCUAUCAGCUUGUUGGUGGGGUGACGGCCUACCAAGGCGACGACGGGUAGCCGGCCUGAGGGGGUGUCCGGCCACACUGGGACUGAGAUACGGCCCAGACUCCUACGGGAGGCAGCAGUGGGGAAUAUUGCACAAUGGGCGAAAGCCUGAUGCAGCGACGCCGCGUGGGGGAUGACGGCCUUCGGGUUGUAAACCUCUUUCACCAUCGACGAAGGUCC